This 211-nucleotide long non-coding RNA is filed under the name Gallus gallus (chicken). The record is from RNAcentral. Lineage: Eukaryota; Metazoa; Chordata; Aves; Galliformes; Phasianidae.
AAGAUGUAGCAACACACAAGGCGGUAUUUCCAGGGCUCGGCUAGGAUUGCCAACAGUGGGACCAAGAGGACUUUCACUUGGACUUGACCUGGACUUCUCCCACUCUGGGGAGCUGAACAUGGAGCAGUGCACAGCCCUUGGUUCUCUCUGCAGAAACUCAGAGAUUGCUGCGAGAGGGCCAGAUGGGAGUAAUCUUUUGGGGAAAAGCAUG